RNAcentral lists this ribosomal RNA (497 nucleotides) under uncultured bacterium. RNAcentral's name for it is "partial 16S ribosomal RNA". It matches the Rfam family "Bacterial small subunit ribosomal RNA", at positions 28 to 507 of the family's 1533-position model. The record is from RNAcentral.
GAUGAACGCUGGCGGCGUGCCUAAUACAUGCAAGUCGAGCGAACGGACGAGAAGCUUGCUUCUCUGAUGUUAGCGGCGGACGGGUGAGUAACACGUGGAUAACCUACCUAUAAGACUGGGAUAACUUCGGGAAACCGGAGCUAAUACCGGAUAAUAUUUUGAACCGCAUGGUUCAAAAGUGAAAGACGGUCUUGCUGUCACUUAUAGAUGGAUCCGCGCUGCAUUAGCUAGUUGGUAAGGUAACGGCUUACCAAGGCAACGAUGCAUAGCCGACCUGAGAGGGUGAUCGGCCACACUGGAACUGAGACACGGUCCAGACUCCUACGGGAGGCAGCGGUAGGGAAUCUUCCGCAAUGGGCGAAAGCCUGACGGGGCAACGCCGCGUGAGUGAUGAAGGUCUUCGGAUCGUAAAACUCUGUUAUUAGGGAAGAAAAUAUGUGUAAGUAACUGUGCACAUCUUGACGGUACCUAAUCAGAAAGCCACGGCUAACUACGUG